AACAUCCUGGGAUGUGCGCCAUACCUUGUUUUUGAACCUGCUGCGGUUGACACGGGAGUUCGGAGUUUGCGCACGUAGCAUAGGCCUCAAGCUAAUUCCGACAAGCGGUGUAAGCCGCUUGCCUCGGCAGUGGAAAUGUGAAAUGCGCAACAGGACACCCACCUGGUGAGGGGCCAGGUGUCAAAAAAGGUUAACGGCAUCUUGGGGCAAAG
Molecule: non-coding RNA, 212 nt
Filed under: Clostridiaceae bacterium
Lineage: Bacteria; Bacillati; Bacillota; Clostridia; Eubacteriales; Clostridiaceae
Description: 6S RNA
Rfam family: 6S / SsrS RNA
About the family: E. coli 6S RNA was the first non coding RNA to be sequenced, but its function was unknown until recently.
Source: RNAcentral